CGGGAGCUGACGAGCGGCGGACGGGUGAGUAACGCGUAGGAAUCUAUCCAGUAGCGGGGGAUAGCCCGGGGAAACCCGGAUUAAUACCGCAUACGCCCUACGGGGGAAAGCAGGGGAUCUUCGGACCUUGCGCUAUCAGAUGAGCCUGCGUCGGAUUAGCUUGUUGGUGGGGUAAUGGCCUACCAAGGCGACGAUCUUUAACUGGUCUGAGAGGAUGAUCAGUCACACUGGAACUGAGACACGGUCCAGACUCC
This 254-nucleotide ribosomal RNA is filed under the name uncultured bacterium. Its description in RNAcentral is "partial 16S ribosomal RNA". It matches the Rfam family "Bacterial small subunit ribosomal RNA", at positions 82 to 339 of the family's 1533-position model. The record is from RNAcentral.